Molecule: RNA transcript, 1079 nt
Organism: Sapajus apella (tufted capuchin)
Lineage: Eukaryota; Metazoa; Chordata; Mammalia; Primates; Cebidae
Gene name: glutamyl-tRNA(Gln) amidotransferase subunit A, mitochondrial pseudogene
Exons: 1
Source: RefSeq, a predicted model, not a curated record
AGAUUUGGGUGGGGACACAGAGCCAAACCAUAUCACCGAGCACAGGCAGAACUGAAGUUUUUAAAAACCAAAUUGAGUGACAACUAAAGAUGGCUGCGUCCAUGUAACAUCACUAGCAACCAGUGACCUCUUUUUCCUCCUUGCCUGGCUCCUAUGGUGGCAGGCUGGGCACAAGGACCAUGCUGGGCUGGACCCUUCGAGAAGUUUCUGUGGCACUGAAACAAGGCCAAAUUACAACCACAGAGCUCUGUCAAAAAUGUCUUCCUCUUAUCAAGAAGACCAAGUUUCUAAAUGCCUACAUUACUGUAUCAGAAGAGUUGGUCUUAAAACAAGCUGAAAAAUCAGAAAAGAGAUAUAAGAAUGGACAGUCACCUGGUGAUUUAGAUGGAAUUCCUAAUGCAGUAAAAGACAACUUUAACACGUCUGGCAUUGAGACAACAUGUGCAUCAAAUAUGCUGAAGGGUUAUGUACCCCCUUAUAAUGCUGCAGUAGUUCGGAAGUUGUUGGAUCAGGGAGCUCUACUAAUGGGAAAAACAAAUUUAGAUGACUUUGCUAUGGGACCUGGAAGCACAGAUGGUGUAUUUGGACCAGUUAAAAACCCCUGGAGUUAUUCAAAACAAUAUAGAUAAAAGAGGAAGCAGAAUCUCCACAGCAAGAAUGAAGAUUCAGACUGGCUGAUAACUGGAGGAAGCUCAGGUGGGAGUGCAGCUGCUGUGUCAGUGCUCACAUGCUAUGCGGCUUUAGGAUCAGAUACAGGAGAAUCGACCAGAAACUCUGCUGCCCACUGUGGGCUUGUUGGUUUCAAACCUCCUUAAAGGAGACGUAUACCUCAAUGCACUGGGAUGUGCAGGGAUUGGAAGCAGCAUAAUGUUAGUGCCACUGUGUACCAGUCUACCCUGGACUCUGACAUGCCAGCAGAAAUGUGUACUUUCUACCAGAACCAAGGCACCAAGCAAACGUUGUCAAAAAUUCGCAGAGAACCAAAAAGCAUGCUGUGGACAGAUGUGCUACCUGCUAUGCUGACAGACCCUUUAAAAACAUUCCACCUGCAGUCCCCACAAGUAAUAGUCAGACCAUAC